RNAcentral lists this ribosomal RNA (467 nucleotides) under uncultured bacterium. Its description in RNAcentral is "partial 16S ribosomal RNA". It matches the Rfam family "Bacterial small subunit ribosomal RNA", at positions 28 to 507 of the family's 1533-position model. The record is from RNAcentral.
GACGAACGCUGGCGGCGUGCUUAACACAUGCAAGUCGAACGGAAAGGCCUCUUUCGGGGGGUACUCGAGUGGCGAACGGGCGAGUAACACGUGAGUAACCUGCCCUUGACUUUGGGAUAACUUCAGGAAACUGGGGCUAAUACCGGAUAGGAGCUCCUGCUGCAUGGUGGGGGUUGGAAAGUUUCGGCGGUUGGGGAUGGACUCGCGGCUUAUCAGCUUGUUGGUGGGGUAGUGGCUUACCAAGGCCUUGACGGGUAGCCGGCCUGAGAGGGUGACCGGCCACAUUGGGACUGAGAUACGGCCCAGACUCCUACGGGAGGCAGCAGUGGGGAAUAUUGCACAAUGGGUGGAAGCCUGAUGCAGCAACGCCGUGUGCGGGAUGACGGCCUUCGGGUUGUAAACCGCUUUCGCUCAUGACGAAGCUUUGUGUGACGGUAGUGGGUAAAGAAGCACCGGCUAACUACGUG